AAGCUCGUAGUUGAAUUUCGGACCUGACCGGGUGGUCCGCCUAACGGUGUGUACUGUCUGGCCGGGCCUUACCUCUUGGUGAGCCGGCAUGCCCUUAAUUGGGUGUGUCGGGGGAACCAGGACCUCUACCCUUGAGAAAAUUAGAGUGUUCAAAGCAAGCUUACGCCGGAAUACAUUAGCAUGGAAUAAUAAAAUAGGACGUGCGGUUCUAUUUUGUUGGUUUCUAGAGUCGCCGUAAUGAUUAAUAGGAUAGUUGGG
RNAcentral lists this ribosomal RNA (258 nucleotides) under uncultured Basidiomycota. Its description in RNAcentral is "partial 18S ribosomal RNA". It matches the Rfam family "Eukaryotic small subunit ribosomal RNA", at positions 624 to 885 of the family's 1831-position model. Lineage: Eukaryota; Fungi; Basidiomycota. The record is from RNAcentral.